This 606-nucleotide ribosomal RNA is filed under the name Orientzomus sp. 818.3. RNAcentral's name for it is "SSU rRNA". It matches the Rfam family "Eukaryotic small subunit ribosomal RNA", at positions 1144 to 1769 of the family's 1831-position model. The record is from RNAcentral. RNAcentral also lists the same sequence under 4 other names. Lineage: Eukaryota; Metazoa; Arthropoda; Arachnida; Schizomida; Hubbardiidae.
UUAAAGGAAUUGACGGAAGGGCACCACCAGGAGUGGAGCCUGCGGCUUAAUUUGACUCAACACGGGAAAACUUACCUGGCCCGGACACUGGAAGGAUUGACAGAUUAAGAGCUCUUUCUUGAUUCAGUGGGUGGUGGUGCAUGGCCGUUCUUAGUUGGUGGAGCGAUUUGUCUGGUUAAUUCCGAUAACGAACGAGACUCUAGCCUACUAAAUAGGGGACCGAUCAAUUGUUGUCGGUCCGUCUUCUUAGAGGGACAAGCGGCUUUUAGCCGCACGAGACAGAGCAAUAACAGGUCUGUGAUGCCCUUAGAUGUCCGGGGCCGCACGCGCGCUACACUGAAGGAAGCAGCGUGCUCAUCGCUGUCCGGCAGGACUGCGUAACCCCUAUAACCUCCUUCGUGAUAGGGAUAGGGGCUUGUAAUUGUUCCCCUUGAACGAGGAAUUCCCAGUAAGCGCGAGUCAUAAGCUCGUGUUGAUUACGUCCCUGCCCUUUGUACACACCGCCCGUCGCUACUACCGAUUGAAUGAUUUAGUGAGGUCUUCGGACUGGCGCUCGGAGCGACCUUCGGGUUGCGCCGGCGUGCCGGAAAGAUGACCAAACUUGAU